RNAcentral lists this ribosomal RNA (492 nucleotides) under uncultured bacterium. RNAcentral describes it as "bacterial SSU rRNA". It matches the Rfam family "Bacterial small subunit ribosomal RNA", at positions 32 to 530 of the family's 1533-position model. The record is from RNAcentral.
AAUCAACGCUGGCGGCGUGCCUCAGACAUGCAAGUCGAACGAUUAAAGCUCUCUUCGGAGAGUGUAUAGAGUGGCGCACGGGUGAGUAACACGUAAGUAAUCUACCCUCGAGUGGGGAAUAACAACCGGAAACGGUUGCUAAUACCGCAUAAUGCAGCGGCACCGCAAGGUGACAGUUGUUAAAGAUUUAUCGCUUGAGGAGGAGCUUGCGGCAGAUUAGCUAGUUGGUAGGGUAACGGCUUACCAAGGCUACGAUCUGUAACCGGUCUAAGAGGACGGUCGGUCACACUGACACUGAAUAACGGGUCAGACUCCUACGGGAGGCAGCAGUCGGGAAUUUUGGGCAAUGGGCGAAAGCCUGACCCAGCAACGCCGCGUGAAGGAUGAAGUAUUUCGGUAUGUAAACUUCGAAAGAAUAGGAAGAAUUAAUGACGGUACUAUUUAUAAGGUCCGGCUAACUACGUGCCAGCAGCCGCGGUAAUAGUACUCUAG